Molecule: microRNA precursor, 115 nt
Filed under: Sorghum bicolor (sorghum)
Lineage: Eukaryota; Viridiplantae; Streptophyta; Magnoliopsida; Poales; Poaceae
Source: RNAcentral
GACUAAUGGUGCAGCCAAGGAUGACUUGCCGAUCGAUCGAUGCAAACUCCUCUGAUGUCUGAUCUCAUCAGAUUAUCGUUGUCGGCAAGUUGUUCUUGGCUACACCGUGGCUCCU